Molecule: long non-coding RNA, 781 nt
Organism: Oncorhynchus keta (chum salmon)
Lineage: Eukaryota; Metazoa; Chordata; Actinopteri; Salmoniformes; Salmonidae
Exons: 4
Source: RefSeq, a predicted model, not a curated record
CUCAUGAUGGGGCGGCAGGUAGCCUAGUGGUUAGAGUGUAGGGGCGGCAGGUAGCCUAGUGGUUAGAGUGUAGAGGCGGCAGGUAGCCUAGUGGUUAGAGUGUAGGGGCGGCAGGUAGCCUAGUGGUUAGAGUGUAGGGGCGGCAGGUAGCCUAGUGGUUAGAGUGUAGGGGGGCAGGUAGCCUAGUGGUUAGAGUGUAGGGGCGGCAGGUAGCCUAGUGGUUAGAGUGUAGAGGCGGCAGGUAGCCUAGUGGUUAGAGUGUAGGGGCGGCAGGUAGCCUAGUGGUUAGAGUGUAGGGGCGGCAGGUAGCCUAGUGGUUAGAGUGUAGGGGUGGCAGGUAGCCUAGUGGUUAGAGUGUAGGGGUGGCAGGUAGCCUAGUGGUUAGAGUGUAGGGGUGGCAGGUAGCCUAGUGGUUAGAGUGUAGGGGUGGCAGGUAGCCUAGUGGUUAGAGUGUAGGGGUGGCAGGUAGCCUAGUGGUUAGAGUGUAGGGGUGGCAGGUAGUCUAGUGGUUAGAGUGUAGGGGCGGCAGGUAGCCUAGUGGUUAGAGUGUAGGGGCGGCAGGUAGCCUAGUGGUUAGAGUGUAGGGGCGGUAGGUAGCCUAGUGGUUAGAGUGUAGGGGCGGCAGGUAGCCUAGUGGUUAGAGUGUAGGGGCGGCAGGUAGCCUAGUGGUUAGAGUGUAGGGGCGGCAGGUAGCCUAGUGGUUAGAGUGUAGGGGCGGCAGGUAGCCUAGUGGUUAGAGUGUAGGGGCGGCAGGUAGCCUAGUGGUUAGAGUGUAGGGGGG